UGGUUAAUAUUCCAAUACCGACUAUGGAGCGUGAUGGGGGGACGCAUAGGGUUAAGCGAGCUAGCUGAUGGAAGCGCUAGUCUAAGGGCGUAGAUUGGAGGGAAGGCAAAUCCACCUCUGUAUUUGAAACCCAAACAGGCUCUUUGAGUCCUUUUAGGACAAAGGGAGAAUCGCUGAUACCGUCGUGCCAAGAAAAGCCUCUAAGCAUAUCCAUAGUCGUCCGUACCGCAAACCGACACAGGUAGAUGAGAUGAGUAUUCUAAGGCGCGUGAAAGAACUCUGGUUAAGGAACUCUGCAAACUAGCACCGUAAGUUCGCGAUAAGGUGUGCCGCAGCAAUGCGGUCUCAGCAAAGAGUCCCUCCCGACUGUUUACCAAAAACACAGCACUUUGCCAACUCGUAAGAGGAAGUAUAAGGUGUGACGCCUGCCCGGUGCUCGAAGGUUAAGAGGAUGCGUCAGUCGCAAGAUGAAGCGUUGAAUUGAAGCCCGAGUAAACGGCGGCCGUAACUAUAACGGUCCUAAGGUAGCGAAAUUCCUUGUCGGUUAAAUACCGACCUGCAUGAAUGGCGUAACGAGAUGGGAGCUGUCUCAACCAGAGAUUCAGUGAAAUUGUAGUGGAGGUGAAAAUUCCUCCUACCCGCGGCAAGACGGAGAGACCCCGUGGACCUUU
This 671-nucleotide ribosomal RNA is filed under the name Helicobacter pylori. RNAcentral's name for it is "bacterial LSU rRNA". It matches the Rfam family "Bacterial large subunit ribosomal RNA", at positions 1427 to 2102 of the family's 2925-position model. The record is from RNAcentral. Lineage: Bacteria; Pseudomonadati; Campylobacterota; Epsilonproteobacteria; Campylobacterales; Helicobacteraceae.